UUCUUACUUAUAGCAUAGAAUCAGAGUACUUGUUUACAAUAAAGCAGAAUAAUAUUUAACAGAAUUUGAAUAUAUUUGAUCUCAAUUAAUGUUCAAAUAUGAACACGAGUAAAAUUAAUUAACAGUUUUCGAGAUGGGCAAUGUUUACCAUAAAAGGCAGAACAUGAUGCGGCUUCUGAACACAUAUAGAAAGCCAAAGGGAAUGAAUCGUAUUUCAUUGGAUUUUAGUAUGACGGCUGUCUUCAAGAACGAACGCAUAUUAUCUACUAUAUGUGUACUACCUAUUCGAACACGAGGAGACCCAUAACCUCAUCGUCGUUGUUGAUUACAUGUUCUGUCAAAUGCGUUGACGCGUUGGCUCGUAAGAACCUUAAUGAUCCUAACGAGUUCCCCUCUUGGUGAAUCUUGCAAAUGAUGUUAAUCAUAAACCAUGAAGUAUUUUGGCACCGCGAACAAUGGAAUAACAUGAUUUUCAUAAUAUUAUAUUCAUUAUAUUGUUUUCAUGGUAUUAAUUCAUGGUAUAAAGUUAAUCAAGAAAUAGAAUAUAUGUAUGAUGAGAAAUUUAAAGAAAACAAUCUUAAGAAUAAUAUAAUAUAAUAUAUAUAUCUAUGAACAAUUAAAAUUGUCUCAUCUAUUUAAAUAUAUUGAUUAAUCUCAAAAACAUUUUUAUUAUAACUCUAAUGAGAAUAAAUAGCACUUAGCAUGAAAAUAGUUAACAAAAAGCAUCUUCUUCUUUUAUGAUUUAUAAACAUAUAUCAGUUGAGUAUUAAUUAAAGUGAUUUUAAUGAAGUAGAAACCGUAGAUAUAUUGAUUGAACAGGAUAUAUUGAUUGAACAAUGAAAAUAGAAAGAGAGAAUAGAAAGUGAGCUAUGCUAUCAUAAUUGUGCAUCUUUAUGAUGAUGAGUGUUCAUGUAAAUGCAUUCUCUAUACAUCACACUCAUUGGUUAAAAAGUUUUAACUCAGCUGCUAAAUUGGCUACACGAUUUUUGAUUAUAUCAAAAUCUUCAUUGAUAUAAUC
Apis dorsata (giant honeybee) is the source of this 1018-nucleotide long non-coding RNA. RefSeq lists it as uncharacterized. Lineage: Eukaryota; Metazoa; Arthropoda; Insecta; Hymenoptera; Apidae. The transcript is spliced from 2 exons. The record is from RefSeq and is a predicted model, not a curated record.